RNAcentral lists this ribosomal RNA (319 nucleotides) under uncultured eukaryote. Its description in RNAcentral is "partial 18S ribosomal RNA". It matches the Rfam family "Eukaryotic small subunit ribosomal RNA", at positions 1470 to 1796 of the family's 1831-position model. The record is from RNAcentral.
CCCUUAGAUGUUCUGGGCAGCACGCGCGCUACAAUGGUCUUCGCAAACGGAUGCAUUCUCGAAGGAGAAUGCCAAUCUUGGAAUCUAUGCCUUGGUCGGGACAGUUGCUUGCAAUUUUUCGACUCGAACCAGGAAUUCCUUGUAAUCGUGAUUCAUCACAUCACGAUGAAUACGUCCCUGCCCUUUGUACACACCGCCCGUCGCUCCUACCGAUCGAAGAGUUAGGUGAAUUGUUUUUAUCGAUAAGAUUUGACUAUGGUCAACUCUCGUUGUGAAAUUCUGUGAAUCUGACUGUUUAGAGGAAGGAAAAGUCGUAACA